Molecule: long non-coding RNA, 959 nt
Organism: Lycium barbarum (goji berry)
Lineage: Eukaryota; Viridiplantae; Streptophyta; Magnoliopsida; Solanales; Solanaceae
Exons: 2
Source: RefSeq, a predicted model, not a curated record
GUCGUUUUUAACGAGAAAAUAUAAUUUCAACUGCAUGAGGUCGAAUUUUUUUUCGUACAAAUAAUAAAUGAAAAACAAAAUCAUUUUACACAAAAAUAAAUUAUAUAAAUAUAAAACAGUUAAUUAAAAUUUAAAAAAAAAAAAAUCUGACUUAAUUUUUUCAACCACAUGCGGUCAAAAAAUUUCAGAAAAUAUACACCCAUAGCCCGAUGAGAAUAUUUCAUCUUCCCCCAAAACUCUCUCUUCUCUUUCAAAAAAAUGCUUUACCCUCUCUAAAUUCAUCUCCCCCAAUUUUUCAUUUGACUAUACUCUCCUCUUCUUCACCUAAUUCCCUUUCUUCUACGUGCUUCUAAGCGCUAAAAUAAAGCUCCAACAACUCCAAAAAUACACAAAUCAAACUUUAUCAAUCGGUGCAGAUUUAUCGGAAAUGAGGGCAGGAUGCCGUAUCUCCGGCCACCCACUACCACCGUUGUACUCCAAGUAGGCGACGGCGUCCACCACUACCACCGGAGCAGCCACCAUCCGCCGCCGACUGAACAGUGAGCUAGAUGGUGUGUGAUAAUUGGGGCAACGUAGACGACCUUCCCAUGAUAGACGACGUAGGUCACAGGCCAAUGUAGAUCAUGGUUUUGUGGAUGAGGAUAGUGAGGAGGAUUCGGAUCAUGUCUCUAACACCCAACGUUGACUUUUUUGAUUCGUAUACUUAUGGAUUCUAAUUUUGCUAUGUUUUCUUGGAUAUGUAUAUGAUAUUUAAGUGUUUGAAUGUAGUUUUAAUUCGAAUUAGAAGUACUUUGAAGGUGAAUUUGAUUGUAGAAUGUAGUUUAUGGUUGUUUAAGUUUAUGAUGUUUAAGUGUUUCAAUGUAGUUGUAAUUUGAAUUAGAAGUACAUUAAAUUGGAAUUUGAGGUUGAAUUUGAUUGCAGAAUGUUGUAGUUUAUGAUUGUAGAAGUACUUUGAUGAA